GACGAACGCUGGCGGCGUGCUUAACACAUGCAAGUCGAGCGGGGAUAAACCCUUCGGGGUUUAGUUCUAGCGGCGGACGGGUGAGUAACGCGUGAACAAUCUGUCCUACACAGGGGGAGUAACAGAUGGAAACAUCUGCUAAUACCGCAUAAGACCACGGGAUCGCAUGUUCCUGAGGUAAAAAGAAUUUAUCGGUGUAGGGUGAGUUCGCGUCCGAUUAGCUAGUUGGUGAGGUAACGGCCCACCAAGGCGACGAUCGGUAGCCGACCUGAGAGGGUGAUCGGCCACAUUGGAACUGAGACACGGUCCAAACUCCUA
Molecule: ribosomal RNA, 318 nt
Filed under: uncultured bacterium
Lineage: Bacteria
Description: bacterial SSU rRNA
Rfam family: Bacterial small subunit ribosomal RNA
Source: RNAcentral